This 272-nucleotide ribosomal RNA is filed under the name uncultured bacterium. RNAcentral's name for it is "partial 16S ribosomal RNA". It matches the Rfam family "Bacterial small subunit ribosomal RNA", at positions 524 to 795 of the family's 1533-position model. The record is from RNAcentral.
UACAGAGGGCUCAAGCGUUAAUCGGAAUCACUGGGCUUAAAGGGUCCGCAGGCGGAUUGGAAAGUAUCUUGUGAAAUACCACGGCUCAACCGUGGAACUGCUCGGUAAACUUCCAAUCUUGAACACGGUAGGGGCCAUCGGAACUCUAGGUGGAGCGGUGAAAUGCGUAGAUAUCUAGAGGAACGCCAGAGGCGAAGGCGGAUGGCUGGGCCGUUGUUGACGCUCAGGGACGAAAGCAUGGGUAGCGAACGGGGAUGAUACCGUCCGUAGUC